CCUACGGGAGGCAGCAGUGAGGAAUAUUGGUCAAUGGACGAGAGUCUGAACCAGCCAAGUAGCGUGAAGGAUGACUGACCUAUGGGUUGUAAACUUCUUUUAUAUGGGAAUAAAACAGUGCAUGCAUACCUACUUGUAUGUACCAUAUGAAUAAGCAUCGGCUAACUCCGUGCCAGCAGCCGCGGUAAUACGGAGGAUCCGAGCGUUAUCCGGAUUUAUUGGGUUUAAAGGGAGCGUAGGUGGAUUGUUAAGUCAGUUGUGAAAGUUUGCGGCUCAACCGUAAAAUUGCAGUUGAAACUGGAAGUCUUGAGUAGAGUAGAGGUAGGCGGAAUGCGUGGUGUAGCGGUGAAAUGCUUAGAUAUCACGAAGAACUCCGAUUGCGAAGGCAGCUUACUGGGCUGUAACUGACACUGAUGCUCGAAAGUGUGGGGAUCAAACAGGAUUAGAUACCCGGGUAGUC
Molecule: ribosomal RNA, 460 nt
Filed under: uncultured bacterium
Lineage: Bacteria
Description: partial 16S ribosomal RNA
Rfam family: Bacterial small subunit ribosomal RNA
Source: RNAcentral